GACGAACGCUGGCGGCGUGCCUAAUACAUGCAAGUCGAACGCAGUGGGGACGGGUGAGUAACACGUGGGUAACCUCCCAUCAGAGGGGAUAACACUUGGAAACAGGUGCUAAACCGAUACUGAUGGAUGGACCCGCGGUGCAUUAGCUAGUUGGUGAGGUAACGGCUCACCAAGGCCACGAUGCAUAGCCGACAUGAGAGGGUGAUCGGCCACACUGAGAUUGAGAAACGGCCCAGACUCCUAGGGGAGGACGAGGUAGGGAAUCUACGGCAAUGGACGAAAGUCUGACCGAGAAACGCCGGGUGAGUGAAGAGGGUUUUCGGAUCGAAAACCUCUGUUGUUAGAGAAGCGGUAUCUAACCAGAAAGCCACGGCUAACUACGUGCCAGCAGCCGCGGUAAUUC
RNAcentral lists this ribosomal RNA (403 nucleotides) under uncultured bacterium. RNAcentral describes it as "partial 16S ribosomal RNA". It matches the Rfam family "Bacterial small subunit ribosomal RNA", at positions 28 to 526 of the family's 1533-position model. The record is from RNAcentral.